UGACGAGUGGCGGACGGGUGAGUAACGCGUAGGAAUAUGCCCAGUAGCGGGGGAUAGCCCGGGGAAACUCGGAUUAAUACCGCAUACGCCCUACGGGGGAAAGCGGGGGAUCUUCGGACCUCGCACUAUUGGAGUAGCCUGCGUUGGAUUAGCUUGUUGGUGGGGUAAAGGCCUACCAAGGCGACGAUCCAUAGCUGGUCUGAGAGGACGAUCAGCCACACUGGGACUGAGACACGGCCCAG
Molecule: ribosomal RNA, 242 nt
Filed under: uncultured bacterium
Lineage: Bacteria
Description: partial 16S ribosomal RNA
Rfam family: Bacterial small subunit ribosomal RNA
Source: RNAcentral